RNAcentral lists this ribosomal RNA (274 nucleotides) under uncultured bacterium. RNAcentral describes it as "partial 16S ribosomal RNA". It matches the Rfam family "Bacterial small subunit ribosomal RNA", at positions 523 to 796 of the family's 1533-position model. The record is from RNAcentral.
AUACGGAGGGUGCAAGCGUUAAUCGGAAUUACUGGGCGUAAAGCGUACGUAGGCGGUUUAUUAAGUCAGAUGUGAAAGCCCCGGGCUUAACCUGGGAACUGCAUUUGAAACUAGUAGACUAGAGUAUGAUAGAGGGGGGUAGAAUUCCUAGUGUAGCGGUGAAAUGCGUAGAUAUUAGGAGGAAUACCAGUGGCGAAGGCGGCCCCCUGGACCAAUACUGACGCUGAGGUACGAAAGCGUGGGGAGCGAACAGAAUUAGAAACCCCAGUAGUCC